This is a non-coding RNA of Cinara cedri, 619 nucleotides long. The record is from the annotation of a GenBank genome assembly. NCBI's taxonomy places the organism in Eukaryota, Metazoa, Arthropoda, Insecta, Hemiptera, Aphididae.
AUAAGACUACUACGACGAUAAUAAUCGACCGGGAAUGUGUCGUGAUUUCUUUUCGGUCGUUACACGGGCCGCACACAUGGGUGGCGUACUCUAUGUAUGCGCGCUAGACGUCCUCCUAUAAAUUAUCGUGUGCCGCCGCCGUACGUGUAAAUAUAAAUCUGCUUCUUUGAAGAGCGCCAAGUGAAUAUAAUGCAGCGAUAAUAAUAAUGUAUAAUAUGCGCGUGUGUACGAGACGGGAGGGGGAGGUACAAGAGGAAGAAACCGAGAGAAUCCGUAAGAGUGUAUCCUUAACUUCGAAGGCGCGGGUAAACUGUGGCAACCGCCAGUAACGACUACGGGAGUGAGACCGGUGACUCGGCGGUGGUAUGUGCAAAAUUAUAAUUACCAUCACGGAGAUUUAUUUUUAAAUUUUUUUUUUUCUCUUCAAUAUAUUUCCAACUGCAUAGCAAACGACCGGACGUCGGUGACGUUUAAUUGAAAUUUCCGAAAAAUGCAUUUUAUCGUGUCUAUAUUAAACAUGUCAAUUAUAACAUCGAUUAUAUAUAAUGGAUACAGGCUGAAUUGGUUAUCGGGCGUUCCUGAAUCUUCUUUCGCCCGCCAAUUUAAGUUUACAAUUAGU